Molecule: ribosomal RNA, 166 nt
Filed under: Padbruggea filipes
Lineage: Eukaryota; Viridiplantae; Streptophyta; Magnoliopsida; Fabales; Fabaceae
Description: 5.8S ribosomal RNA
Rfam family: 5.8S ribosomal RNA
About the family: 5.8S ribosomal RNA (5.8S rRNA) is a component of the large subunit of the eukaryotic ribosome. It is transcribed by RNA polymerase I as part of the 45S precursor that also contains 18S and 28S rRNA.
Source: RNAcentral
UGUAGAAUGACUCUCGGCAACGGAUAUCUAGGCUCUUGCAUCGAUGAAGAACGUAGCGAAAUGCGAUACUUGGUGUGAAUUGCAGAAUCCCGUGAACCAUCGAGUCUUUGAACGCAAGUUGCGCCCGAAGCCAUUAGGUUGAGGGCACGUCUGCCUGGGUGUCACA